AACGCACAUUGCGCCCUUUGGUAUUCCGAAGGGCAUGCCUGUUCGAGCGUCAUUUUCACCCCUCAAGCCCCCGGCUUGGUGUUGGAAGGCUGGCCUAGGUCUCCCUAGACCCCUCCUAAAGACAAUGACGGCGGGCUGUUCGACCCCCGGUACACUGAGCGUCUUAACUGAGCACGUACCGGUCCAGGGUUGACAGCACCCGGUCUCCAAACCUAUUCUUUUACAAGGUUGACCUCGGAUCAGGUAGGAAUACCCGCUGAACUUAA
Molecule: unclassified non-coding RNA, 266 nt
Filed under: uncultured fungus
Lineage: Eukaryota; Fungi
Description: partial contains 5.8S ribosomal RNA, internal transcribed spacer 2, and large subunit ribosomal RNA
Rfam family: 5.8S ribosomal RNA (bases 1-52)
Source: RNAcentral